RNAcentral lists this ribosomal RNA (254 nucleotides) under uncultured prokaryote. RNAcentral's name for it is "partial 16S ribosomal RNA". It matches the Rfam family "Bacterial small subunit ribosomal RNA", at positions 525 to 777 of the family's 1533-position model. The record is from RNAcentral.
ACGGGGGGAGCAAGCGUUGUUCGGAUUUACUGGGCGUAAAGGGCGCGUAGGCGGUCAGCACAAGUCAGUUGUGAAAUCUCCGAGCUUAACUCGGAAAGGUCAACUGAUACUGUGCGACUAGAGUGCAGAAGGGGCAACUGGAAUUCUCGGUGUAGCGGUGAAAUGCGUAGAUAUUGGGAGGAACACCUGAGGCGAAAGCGGCCAUCUGGGACAUUCCUGACACUGAGGUUCGAAAGCUCGGGGAGCAAACAGGA